Molecule: long non-coding RNA, 3655 nt
Filed under: Nicotiana tabacum (common tobacco)
Lineage: Eukaryota; Viridiplantae; Streptophyta; Magnoliopsida; Solanales; Solanaceae
Description: long non-coding RNA (NTAB_LNC013875)
Source: RNAcentral
ACAUUUGAAAGAAAAAAUCGCAGCAGCAGCUGCUGCCUUCUUCUUCCUUCAUAAACAACCUCCCUUAGCUCGAAAACCUCAACAAACCACCCAAACCCAGCUGAAACAACAUCAAAAUCCCUCCCUUUCACCCCCAAAAUCCAGCCCGAAAAAUAGCCCCCAAUACCAUCGAAAACCAACUCAAAUCAGCUGUAAAACCAACUGAAAAUCAGCUGCGAAACCGGCUGAAAAAUUAUCUCAAAACCAGACCAAAAUGUAGCAAAAAGCCAUCUCAAAACAACCCCAAAACAUCACCUCCUAAAACUCCAUUGAAACCAACCAAGAAUUAGCUCUAAAACCCAGCAAAAAUAGCUCUGUUUCCCAGUGAAAAUCAGCUGCAAAAUUGUCCUAAAAAUCAGCCUUCCACCUCCAAACACCACCGCUAAAGUUGUUGGAUCGGAUUGAGGUUAUUUGGGUCAAGUUGAGGUCCAUGUUGUGGCUCUCGGGUCGAGGUUUUGUUCGCAAUUCUGGUGUUAUCGCCGAAUUCCGUUUCUGCUAGCUGAACAACUAUUUUUGUUGAAUAAGAUCUUGCUCAAUUAAAGGUUCAUCCUCUACUCUACUAUUUCUAUUAGGCCACCCACUUGCUCUUAUUUGUCAUAUACUAUUUGAGAUGUCUCUGUUAGAAAUGAGUAUUUUAUCAUCAUGCGAUUGUUUGGUGAUUCGAUUACGUUGCUUGAAUUGGUGAGAUCUCGUUUCAUUAUUAUUGUUUGAACUUAAUGCGACUAUGUAUUGAUAAUAUUUUAAUUGUUAUAGUAAGUUAUUAUUAAAACGUUUCAUUAUAGGUGUUUUGGAUUUUAACAGUGAUAUUCUAAUGUUAAGGGAUUUGUGGCUAGGUGGGAUUCUGGCCAUUUGAUUUUCAAUGGAGAGUCGAUUUUGGACCAAAAAAUUUAAAGAGUUUUGAGUUUAAAAUAUUUUUCCAUACAUUAUUUUUCUACAUAGUCACGUUAGUAAACAUUAGGAAUAAAACUAUGAGGUGUAACAUUAACUCCAAUUUUUAGCAUAUUUUUUUCAAUAAAUUCUUGUCAACUAAAUCACACCGUCUCUCCAUAAUAUGGAUUGUGUACACGUUCGCGUGACAUGAUUUUAACGCCCAAAUAAAACGGGUUUACACACAUGCAGUUCGCUUCACAGAUAAAUCCAUAACUAAGUAAUUAAAAGUAGUAAAAAGUUAAAAUGUACAUAGGUUCUAAAAUAAGUAAUUAAAAAAUUUAAUUAAGCCAGGUAUGAUUAAAGCAGACCAUAAAUAGAGUCAAAUUUUCUCGACUUGGGAUUUAAAAUAAAUCGGUGACUUGGGACACCAUAAAAUUAUUCAAAGUGGCGACUCUGAAAUAAAAUAGAUAAUUCCAUAUCGAAUAAUAUCACUUAAAUUGGAAAAAAACUCCCUUAUAUCCCCUACGGGUAAAAAGGAGGUGUGACACCAGAUUCAGUAAAAUUCUUGGAGAUCUCAAAUCAUUUGAAAGACCAAUUAAAAGUGGCGAACAAGUUAGAAAGAUCCUUAGAAGCUUGCCUACAAUUUGGCAACCAAGGGUCAUUGCUUUGGAAUGUCAAGAUCUGGAUAAAAUUUCCUAUGAUGAGCUCAGAGGUGAUCUGAUUGCUUUUGAGAAAACUCAUCUUGAUAGAAAAUUCAAGAGAAGAAAAAAAUUGUUGCUUUCAAAGCAACUGUGGCUGAACCAGAAAUUGAAGAUGAAGAAGAAGGAGGAGAACAAGGUGAAAACAUAAUGCUCUCUCAAGUCGUGACCAGCAUGAUGAGACGAAACAUAAACAACAGAAGAGGUAAGUCUAACUUCAGGAAAGGAAGAGCGAGCAAUGAAGCUAAGAAAAAUGAUGAAAGAUGUUACGAAUAUGGAAAGUUCGGUCAUAUUCAAGUUGAAUGUCCGAAAUUAAAGAAGAAACUUAGCAGAAAAAUGCAAAAGAUGAAAGCCUUUGGAGCAUGGAGUAAUGAGGAAGAAUCUAAUCAUGAGGAAAUUGCUAACAUGCGCUUCAUGGCUCUAAGUGACAAUGAAGAAGCAGGGGAACUUGGGCUAAUGACAGACAUCAACGAUGAGAAAGACGACUCAAGAGAACCUCUUUCAAUGUCAGAUGAGGAACUAGUGAACUACGUACUCCUUUAUACCCUAAUUGUCAUGAACUUCAAGAAUUUGUUAAUAUUGCCCUUGCAGAUAUAGAAAGAGUAGUAAAUGAGCUCAGAAAAGUCAAGAGAGAAGAGAGACUGGGCCCUAAAACUAGAAGUAUGCAAAAUUGAACGCGAUAUAUUUCAAGAAAAAGUAAAUGAACUCAAGGUUCAAUUGAAUGGAUUGCAAAGGACCUCAAAUCACAGUUCAGUCAAGUCUCAACAGACUGUUCAUCAGAAAAAGAAAAUGGCUUGUUCCUUUUGUGGAAAAAAUGGCCAUAACACUAAUAAUCGCAGGAACAGAAUUAGAGCUAAGAGUAGUUUUGAUAACUCUAACAACUUAUCUUGCUUCUACUGUGGCAAAAGAGGUCAUACCUCAAAUUAUUGCAGGUUCAAAAAUAACAAAAGAUGGGUCUGGAGACCAAAAUCUUCAAAUCAAACUAACACUCAGAAGUCUAACCAUUCAGGACCCAAGCAGGCUUGGGUACCUAAAAAUAAGUAAUCUUGUUUUGCAAGAACACUGCAAGAAAAAUAGAAAAGGAAAAUGGUAUCUCGGCAACACGUGUUCCAGACAUAUGACGAGUGACAAAUAAUUGUUCAAAUCAGUCACCAAGAUAGAUGGAGGAAUAGUUACAUUUGGUGACAAAUCCAAAGAAAAUGUUACUGGUGUUGGAAAAGUUCCUUUAAGCUCAACAUGUGAUGUAGAUGGAGUCUACUUAGUUGAUUAACUUGGCUAUAACCUUCUCAGUAUCAGUCAAUUGUGUGAUAAUGAUUAUGAGGUUCAUUUUAAGAAACAUGGAUGGUUUAUAGAAGACGAAUCAGGUAAUAUCAUUCUCUCAAGAAAUAGGAACAGAAAUGUCUAUACUAUCAAAAACUUAGAAAACUUUGGGGAUCAAAUUUGCCUUACUUCUAUUAUUGAAGAUCCCUAGGUUUGGCAUAGAAAACUUGGCCAUACAAGCAUGAAUACUAUUCAAAAAAAUUUCAAACAUGAUCUUGUUAUUGGUCUUCCAAAACUAAAUUUUUUAAAAGAUCAUAUAUGUGAUGCAUGUCAAUUAGGGAAACAAGCACGAUCCUCUUUCAAAGUCAAAAACAUUGUUUCUACCUCUAAACCUCUUCAAUUGCUGCAUAUGAAUUUAUUUGGUCCUACUAGAACUGCUAGUAUAGGAGGUAAGAAAUAUGUUUUUGUUAUUGUAGAUGAUUUCUCUAGAUUUACAUGUGUUAUGUUUCUUAGUCAUAAAGAUGAUGCUCUAAAGAAUUUUGAAGUUUUCUGUAAGAAGGUUCAACGAGAAAAAGGAUACUAUAUCUCCACCAUCAGAAGUGACCAUGGAGGAAAAUUUGAAAGCAGAACUUUUGAAAAUUUUGCAAUGAUCAAGGAAUCUCUCAUAACUUCUCAUCGCCAAGAUCCCCUCAACAAAAUGGAGUAAUAGAACGUAAAAACAGAACCUUGCAGGAUAUGGCAAGAAGUAUGAUCGUGGAAAACUCUCUACCUCAUAAUUUCAAGGCAGA